This 501-nucleotide ribosomal RNA is filed under the name Entomoneis sp. Its description in RNAcentral is "eukaryotic LSU rRNA". It matches the Rfam family "Eukaryotic large subunit ribosomal RNA", at positions 43 to 566 of the family's 3401-position model. The record is from RNAcentral. Lineage: Eukaryota; Bacillariophyta; Bacillariophyceae; Surirellales; Surirellaceae.
UAAUUAAGCAGAGGAAAAUAAACUAACUAGGAUUGGUCCAGUAACGGCGAGUGAAGCGCCAAGAGCCCAGAAUGUGAAUCGUCACUUGUGUCGAAUUGUGGUCUGUAGGUCUUUCUGUUAUACAUGUGGGUGAAGUCCCCUGGAAUGGGGCAGCACAGAGGGUGACACUCCCGUACGUCCGCAGGUGCAAGGAAAGUUCCAAAGAGUCGAGUUGUUUGGGAUUGCAGCUCUAAUCAGGUGGUAAAUUCCAUCUAAGGCUAAAUACUGGUGAGAGACCGAUAGCGUACAAGUACCGUGAGGGAAAGAUGCAAAGCCGCGCGAGAGCGCUGUCAAAGAGUACCUGAAAUUGUUGAAACGGAAGCAAAGGAAACCAGUGCAAGCCACACUGCAUUUCCUCAUUUGCUUGCAUAUGAGGCGCUGCAGCUGGUGUUUUCCUGAUUGGUGGUUGGCAGUGGAUCAGUCUUAGGAUUAGCACUGUUGUCUACUGAUCAGGAUGAAAUG